This 934-nucleotide non-coding RNA is filed under the name Pristimantis fenestratus (Rio Mamore robber frog). RNAcentral's name for it is "12S ribosomal RNA". It matches the Rfam family "Bacterial small subunit ribosomal RNA". Lineage: Eukaryota; Metazoa; Chordata; Amphibia; Anura; Strabomantidae. The record is from RNAcentral.
CAUAGAUUUGGUCCUGACCUUGAAAUCAGUUAUAUCUAAACUUACACAUGCAAGCAUCUACACACCGGUGAGAACGCCCUUUAUCCCACUUUGGGACAAGGAGCUGGUAUCAGGCACAAUAUUUAGCCCAAAACACCUAGCUAUGCCACACCCACAAGGGUAUUCAGCAGUGAUUAGCAUUAAAAAUAAACGCCAGUUUGAUUUAGUUAAUGAUAAUAGAGCCGGCUAAUCUGGUGCCAGCCGCCGCGGUUAAACCAGGUGCUCAAAUUGAUAUUUCACGGCGUAAAACGUGAUUAAAGAGAUACUUACUGGGGUUGAACUAAAACUAAAAAGUUUAACACUUGUUUUAAAAGAAACCCACACCCGAAAGUUACCCCAAACCAACAACUUGAAUUCACGACAGCUAGGACACAAACUGGGAUUAGAUACCCCACUAUGCCUAGCCGUAAACUUUAAUUUACACCACCAACUCGCCUGGGAACUACGAGCAGAGCUUAAAACCCCAAGGACUUGACGGUGCCCCACAUCCCCCUAGAGGAGCCUGUCCUAUAAUCGAUGAUCCGCGUUAAACCCUACCAUUUUUAGUUUUUCAGCCUGUAUACUUCCGUCUUCAGCUUUUCACGUGAGUGAAACAUAACAAGCUUAAUGGAACCCCCACCAAUACGUCAGGUCAAAGUGCAGCUAAUAAAUUGGGUAGAGAUGGGCUACACUUUCUAUCAUAGAAAACACGGAAAAUCACAUGAAACAUGAUUUGAAGGUGGAUUUAGUAGUAAAAAGAAACCAGAACGUUCUAUUUAACUCGGCUACUGGAGUGUGUACAUACCGCCCGUCACCCUCUUCAAAAAAAACACCAAAGUACAUAACAAAUUAACCCCCAACUAGAAGAGGCAAGUCGUAACAUGGUAAGUGUACCGGAAGGUGCACUUGGAGUAGA